GACGUAGGAGGCGAGCGUUGUCCGGAUUCACUGGGCGUAAAGGGUGCGCAGGUGGUCGGGUAAGGCUGACGUGAAAUCCCGCAGCUUAACUGCGGAAUGGCAUUGGAUACUAUUCGGCUAGAGGGUUGGAGGGGGGACUGGAAUUCUCGGUGUAGCAGUGAAAUGCGUAGAUAUCGAGAGGAACACCAGUGGCGAAGGCGAGUCCCUGGACAACUCCUGACGCUGAGGCACGAAAGCUAGGGGAGCAAACAGG
Molecule: ribosomal RNA, 253 nt
Filed under: uncultured bacterium
Lineage: Bacteria
Description: partial 16S ribosomal RNA
Rfam family: Bacterial small subunit ribosomal RNA
Source: RNAcentral